AACCUCAUGUUUAGUGACGUUGCCGUUGCCGUUGCCGCGUGAUUUUGUUAAACUUCUUUGCCUAGACGGCAGAAGGAUCACGGUAAUAAAGAAAUACUAAAAUGGCUAAAUGCGCUCUGUUCUUUUACUUCACUUUCUUGAAGCCUUUUAUUCGGUUUAAACAUUUUCCUUCUCCUUUGGCAACUAGACGAGGUCCACUAACUUGGGGUCUUUUCCAAGGAACAGAAGAAAACACUUAAAUGAAUGUAAUAAUUCCUGCGUAUCAAAGUUUGUUAAGAGUUCAUUUUUGGCAGAGGAUAUUUUUAUUGUUUACUUGAAUUGUUGCUAUAUAUGGUUGAAAUCGCUGAAUAAGUAAAAUUAAAGUUAUUAGAGGCUUAUGACAGAG
Pocillopora damicornis (cauliflower coral) is the source of this 385-nucleotide long non-coding RNA. RefSeq lists it as uncharacterized. NCBI's taxonomy places the organism in Eukaryota, Metazoa, Cnidaria, Anthozoa, Scleractinia, Pocilloporidae. The record is from RefSeq and is a predicted model, not a curated record.